AGGCAGGGGAACUGUGUGUCCGGAGGCCCAGCGGCCAGCAGGAAAGUGACAGAUGGAAGGCACAAGUUUUGUAAACAUUUGACGCCCACGUAUGAGAGAGGUUAUCCCUACAGUGUGUUUGGUGAGAAAGGCAGGAUUAGUUUCCAUACAUUUUCUGGUUCAUUUUUCAAAAGACUGAUUCUGUAGUUGCAAGAGACGCAGUGGCUGCUUAAUAAAUCUCUGCUGAACAAAUGAAUAAGGAACUUUACGUAAGAGUCCAAAGCUCCAGCUAGGUGAAAUGGAGUUAGGAAAGCUGUGUAACGGCAUGAAAUCUAUGUCCCCGCCUGGAAACGUAUGUGGCAUUUCUCAAUCUGCUUUUUUCCCUUUCCUUCUUCUUUUGUAAAGUGUCCGUUACAGAAUUUUAUACCAUGUUUAGGGCCUCACAUCUCCUGCACAGCAGUGAAUUUAGCUCAAUUCACAAAACACCUUUUGAAAGUUUGUGAGAAGUACACAGCCGUUGUGAGUUUCCAUGUAUUUGCAUGUCCCCAGCAAAAAAAGAUGGUUUAGACACCUCCCCUACCACAAAGAAUGUUGGCUCUGGGAUCCAGCAGGCCAGCCCAUCAGUUGGCAGCUGUGUGACUUCGCCACAUCUUGUCUACCUCUUCCAGCCUCAGCGUUUCAAGUAUAAUCUGGAGGUUUUCUUCUCAUCUCCCAGGGCGGUUGUAAACAGAGAGUGCACUGGAAGUAGCAGCUGCAGUGCUCAGGGGUGCUUCCGCCCUUCUUGCCAUCCUUAUUCUUUGCCACAUGCAAGCCCCACUCUCAGAAACCAUGGCCUCCUCGUGAAGGAGAAAAAGGAACCAUUCAAAUUCAAAACAAAACAAAAAAUUGCUCACACUUAACACUGCUUGCCGUGCCAGCAACGAGAAGAGGCUGAGCCAGUUUCCGAAUUGCUUUCUGUCCAAGGGAGGAAGCCUUACCUUCCCAGAAGCUGGAGUCCACAGGAACCUGGAGGGAGAAGCAGGGUUUCCACGGGCCAUGGCCCAGCUGGGGAAAUGCUUGUUUAUGGUGACCGUGCUGCAGCUGUGGACGCCGUAUCACCUACCGUGUUGUAAGUGGAAAGGCAAUCAAGGGCAUCAUUCAUUCCCUCAUUCCGCCAGCGUUCUCUUCCUUCCAUGAGGCCGCUGACCCUGGGGCCCUUAUAGGCUAGUGUGUGGGGUGUUUGGUGGUUGGGGACUGUGUUUGUGGGGCUGGAAGUUACAUAAAUAAUAAUAGCAAAUCUCCAGUACUUACCUUACACCAGCAGUAGCCUCGGGCCUUUGGAAAUAUUGACCAUUUAAUCCUCUCUCAGCCCCAUGUGAGAGGUAAAAGUGUGGCCUCCAUUUUAUAGAUGAAGAAAUGAGAUAAAGUCACACAGCUGGGAAGGGAAAGAGCCGGUCUGUGAGCUCAGAGAGUUCAACUGUCUGGUUUGAGUUUAAACCUUUAAAUCAAACUGGGCCUCUAAAGGACAGAAAAUAGAAGGGUGCUUGCCAGGGUCUGGAGGGAGCGAGGAGUGGGGAGUUAGUGGUUAAUGGGGACAGAGUUUCAGCUUGGGAAGAUGAGAAAGUUCUAGAGGUAGAUGGUGGUGAUGGUUGUACAACAAUGUGAAUGUAUUUAACACCAAAUUGUAAAAAUUGUCAAAAUGAUAAAU
RNAcentral lists this long non-coding RNA (1666 nucleotides) under Homo sapiens (human). RNAcentral's name for it is "HSALNT0068521". The record is from RNAcentral. Lineage: Eukaryota; Metazoa; Chordata; Mammalia; Primates; Hominidae.